This 377-nucleotide ribosomal RNA is filed under the name uncultured bacterium. Its description in RNAcentral is "bacterial SSU rRNA". It matches the Rfam family "Bacterial small subunit ribosomal RNA", at positions 521 to 896 of the family's 1533-position model. The record is from RNAcentral.
UAAUACGUAGGGGGCUAGCGUUGUCCGGAUUUAUUGGGCGUAAAGAGCGUGUAGGCGGCCUGGUAGGUCUGCUGUGAAAACUCGAGGCUCAACCUCGAGCUGUCGGCGGAAACCACUUGGCUAGAGUCCGGAAGAGGAGAGUGGAAUUCCUGGUGUAGCGGUGAAAUGCGCAGAUAUCAGGAAGAACACCUAUGGCGAAGGCAGCUCUCUGGGACGGUACUGACGCUGAGACGCGAAAGCGUGGGGAGCGAACAGGAUUAGAUACCCUGGUAGUCCACGCUGUAAACGAUGGGUGCUAGGUGUGGGCGGUGUCGACUCCGUCCGUGCCGCAGCUAACGCAUUAAGCACCCCGCCUGGGGAGUACGGCCGCAAGGCUA